GCCUAUAACAUGCAAGUCGAGCGGCAGCACGGGGAGCUUGCUCCCUGGUGGCGAGCGGCGGACGGGUGAGUAAUGCAUAGGAAUCUGCCCGGUAGUGGGGGAUAACGUGGGGAAACCCACGCUAAUACCGCAUACGUCCUACGGGAGAAAGCGGAGGCUCUUCGGACUUCGCGCUAUCGGAUGAGCCUAUGUCGGAUUAGCUAGUUGGUAAGGUAACGGCUUACCAAGGCGACGAUCCGUAGCUGGUCUGAGAGGAUGAUCAGCCACACUGGGACUGAGACACGGCCCAGACUCCUACGGGAGGCAGCAGUGGGGAAUAUUGGACAAUGGGCGAAAGCCUGAUCCAGCCAUGCCGCGUGUGUGAAGAAGGCUUUCGGGUUGUAAAGCACUUUCAGCGAGGAAGAAAGCCUUUGGGUUAAUACCCCAGAGGAAGGACAUCACUCGCAGAAGAAGCACCGGCUAACUCCGUGCCAGCAGCCGCGGUAAUACGGAGGGUGCGAGCGUUAAUCGGAAUUACUGGGCGUAAAGCGCGCGUAGGUGGCUUGGCACGCCGGUUGUGAAAGCCCCCGGGCUCAACCUGGGGAACGGCAUCCGGAACGGCCAGGCUAGAGUGCAGGAGAGGAAGGUAGAAUUCCCGGUGUAACGGUGAAAUGCGUAAAGAUCGGGAGGAAUACCAGUGGCGAAGGCGGCCUUCUGGCCUGACACUGACACUGAAGUGCGAAAGCGUGGGUAGCAAACAGGAUUAAAUACCCUGGUAGUCCACGCCGUAAACGAUGUCGACUAGCCGUUGGGACCUUUAAGGACUUAAUGGCGCAGUUAACGCGAUAAGUCGACCCGCCUGGGGAGUACGGCCGCAAGGUAAAACUCAAAUGAAUUGACGGGGGCCCGCACAAGCGGUGGAGCAUGUGGUUUAAUUCGAUGCAACGCGAAGAACCUUACCUACCCUUGACAUCCUGCGAACCCGGAAGAGAUUCCGGGGUGCCUUCGGGAACGCAGUGACAGGUGCUGCAUGGCUGUCGUCAGCUCGUGUUGUGAAAUGUUGGGUUAAGUCCCGUAACGAGCGCAACCCUUGUCCUUAUUUGCCAGCGAUUCGGUCGGGAACUCUAAGGAGACUGCCGGUGACAAACCGGAGGAAGGUGGGGACGACGUCAAGUCAUCAUGGCCCUUACGGGUAGGGCUACACACGUGCUACAAUGGCCGGUACAAAGGGUUGCGAGACCGCGAGGUGGAGCGAAUCCCAGAAAGCCGGCCUCAGUCCGGAUCGGAGUCUGCAACUCGACUCCGUGAAGUCGGAAUCGCUAGUAAUCGUGAAUCAGAAUGUCACGGUGAAUACGUUCCCGGGCCUUGUACACACCGCCCGUCACACCAUGGGAGUGGACUGCACCAGAAGUGGUUAGCUUAACCUUCGGGAGACAGGAUACCAC
RNAcentral lists this ribosomal RNA (1424 nucleotides) under Haererehalobacter sp. SO17. RNAcentral's name for it is "16S ribosomal RNA". It matches the Rfam family "Bacterial small subunit ribosomal RNA". The record is from RNAcentral. Lineage: Bacteria; Pseudomonadati; Pseudomonadota; Gammaproteobacteria.